CGACGACCCAUAACGUGAGUAGACAGACUGGCGUCUGCAGGUCUACCAUUGCUUCAGUGCUAUUUGUUGCCAGGUCGUGAUGAUGGGCGGUACCUUUUGGCAAAAUGAUGCGCAGACAAGGUCCUCAUUGGAGUGAACACAUCGCGAAAGAGUUGCAUGUCAGUGCCGGUUCGGCUUCAAUGUAACAUCGUCGGAGUGCAUUCUGUGCUUUUUUUUAAUAUAGGCCGUGAAUAAAACCCCAUCAUCACAAGUAAAAGAUGGCGCUUUACGUUGAUACUUUCAAAUUAUCCUAUCGUACUGGAAAAGAAAAGCUGACAGAUGAAGUAAAAUCGUGGGUAAGCCAGUAUGUCGACCACACAGUCUAACCUCGCAGCCUGAAUACAAAUAUUAAAGGGUAAAAAAAUCAUUACGGAAAGACAGCACCGAUCAUUAGUACAUAGACACAUUUAAUCAAGUAUUUCACCUCUAAUCACCAAUUUAUAAUGAAAUUGUAAUCACUUCAAUAUUUGCAUCUAUUUCAACGAACCUUAUGUUACCGAGCACGAUCGGUCAAAUGUGCGAAGGCAGAAUUUGGGAGCUCUGCCUCGAACACUAAAACAAUAUAUUCUAGAAGUUCGUCCUAAAAAAAUUUAAAAAAAAUAUUAAAAAAAAUAAAGAAGGACAGCUGAUUUUCCCAAAUAAAUAUUUUUUAAAUUAACUUAUACUUCUAUAGUAAUAAUGUUGACUUCUGGUCAAUCGAACUCCGGUUGUGCUGGGAGAUAGUGAUGCAUUUGUUCGGUUUUGUUCGUGUUAACUUCAGGUUCGAUAGAUGCGAUUAUUCAAUUUUACUGCCUACUUUUAAAAUUUUUUUUUUGGGUAAAAUCAGCUGUC
Onthophagus taurus is the source of this 870-nucleotide long non-coding RNA. RefSeq lists it as uncharacterized. The record is from RefSeq and is a predicted model, not a curated record. NCBI's taxonomy places the organism in Eukaryota, Metazoa, Arthropoda, Insecta, Coleoptera, Scarabaeidae.